Molecule: ribosomal RNA, 1333 nt
Filed under: Ceratina okinawana
Lineage: Eukaryota; Metazoa; Arthropoda; Insecta; Hymenoptera; Apidae
Description: 16S ribosomal RNA
Source: RNAcentral
AUUAUGUUUAAUUAAGAAUUUUUGUUAGAUUAAUUAAAUAUUUAUAAUUAAAGUUUUAAUAAAUUUGAUAAGUUUAAGUAAUAAUUUUGAAUAAAUUAAAAUUUUUAUAAUUUAGUAAUGUAAAUGAAUAUUUAAUAUUAUUAUAAAAGUAAUAUGUUUUUUACCUUUUGUAUCAGGGUUAAUUAAUUAUAAUUUAUUUAUUUAAUAGUCUCGAAAAUAAAUGAGUUAAAUUUAUAAAAUUUUUUUUGUUAAAUUAAAAUUAUAAAUAUAAAUUUAGAGAUUAAAUGUUAUUCAAAUUUAUUAAUAUCUAGUUUUUUUUUAAUUAAAUUUAAUUUAUUUAUAAAAUUUAUUAUAAAAUUUAUUAUAAAAUUUUAUAAUAAUUUUAUAGAAAAAAAUUAUGGGAUAAACUUUAAUUUUAGUUACAAUAUAUAUAUUAUAUAUAAUAGAAUUUAUAUAAAUAUAUUAAUAAAAUUUUAAUUUAUUUGAAAUUAUUUUAUAAUUUAUAAUUAAAAUAAAAGAUUUUUUUUAUAUGUAUAUUUUAAAAAAAAUAUUAUAUUAAUUUUGUAUAUAAUGGUAUAAUGAUUAAAUAAGUAAUAUAAAUUAUAAAUAUAAAUUUUUAUAAAUUUAUAAUUAAAAUAUAUUUAAGGAAUUAGGCAAAAAUUUUUAUUUUAGAUUAUAUAUUCAACUGUUUAACAAAAACAUUGUUUAUUGAUAAUAAUUUUAAAUAAAUCUGCCCAAUGAUAAUUUAAAUUUAAUGGCUGCAGUAUAAUUAACUGUGCAAAGGUAGCAUAAUCAAUUGUUUCUUAAUUAGAAACUUGGAUGAAAGAAUUAAUGAAAUAUUUACUGUCUCAUUUAUAUUAAAUGAAUUUAGAUUUUUAGUAAAAAUACUGAAAUUUAUUUAUGGGACGAUAAGACCCUAAGAAUUUUAUUAAAUUAUAUAAUUAAAUUUUAUAAUAUAUUUAAUUUUAUUUAUAUAACUUAAUUUAAUUGGGAGGAUUAUUAAAUUUAUAAAACUUUAAUAUAUUUAAUCUAUAAUAAAAGAAUUUUUUUGAUCUAUAAAUUAUAAAUAUUAGAUUAAAUUACCUUAGGGAUAACAGCGUAAUAUCUUUUGAAAGAUCAUAUUUAUAAAGAUGUUUGCGACCUCGAUGUUGAAUUAAGAUUAAAUUUAAAUGUAGAAGUUUAAUUAUUAAGUCUGUUCGACUUUUAAAAUCUUACAUGAUUUGAGUUCAGAUCGACGUAAGUCAGAUCGGUUUCUAUCUAUAAAAAAAAAAUAAUUAUUUGUACGAAAGGACUAUAAUCAUUAAAUAAUUUAUUUGAUUUAAAUAAAUAGAUA